CCCGUCACACCAUGGGAGUUGAUUGCACCAGAAGCAGGUAGCCUGACUGCAAGGAGGGCGCCUACCACGGUGUGGUCAAUGACUGGGGUG
This 90-nucleotide ribosomal RNA is filed under the name uncultured bacterium. RNAcentral describes it as "partial 16S ribosomal RNA". It matches the Rfam family "Bacterial small subunit ribosomal RNA", at positions 1393 to 1482 of the family's 1533-position model. The record is from RNAcentral.